AUUGAACGCUGGCGGCAUGCCUUACACAUGCAAGUCGAACGGCAGCACGGGUGCUUGCACCUGGUGGCGAGUGGCGAACGGGUGAGUAAUACAUCGGAACAUGUCCUGUAGUGGGGGAUAGCCCGGCGAAAGCCGGAUUAAUACCGCAUACGAUCCACGGAUGAAAGCGGGGGACCUUCGGGCCUCGCGCUAUAGGGUUGGCCGAUGGCUGAUUAGCUAGUUGGGGGGGUAAAGGCCUACCAAGGCGACGAUCAGUAGCUGGUCUGAGAGGACGACCAGCCACACUGGGACUGAGACACGGCCCAGACUCCUACGGGAGGCAGCAGUGGGGAAUUUUGGACAAUGGGCGAAAGCCUGAUCCAGCAAUGCCGCGUGUGUGAAGAAGGCCUUCGGGUUGUAAAGCACUUUUGUCCGGAAAGAAAUCCUUGGCUCUAAUACAGUCGGGGGAUGACGGUACCGGAAGAAUAAGCACCGGCUAACUACGUG
This 486-nucleotide ribosomal RNA is filed under the name uncultured bacterium. RNAcentral's name for it is "partial 16S ribosomal RNA". It matches the Rfam family "Bacterial small subunit ribosomal RNA", at positions 30 to 507 of the family's 1533-position model. The record is from RNAcentral.